Molecule: ribosomal RNA, 820 nt
Filed under: Bacillus sp. STS16
Lineage: Bacteria; Bacillati; Bacillota; Bacilli; Caryophanales; Bacillaceae
Description: bacterial SSU rRNA
Rfam family: Bacterial small subunit ribosomal RNA
Source: RNAcentral
GUAAGUACGUGUCGGAUUAUUGGGCGUAAGGGCUCGCAGGCGGUUUCUUAAGUCUGAUGUGAAAGCCCCCGGCUCAACCGGGGAGGGUCAUUGGAAACUGGGGAACUUGAGUGCAGAAGAGGAGAGUGGAAUUCCACGUGUAGCGGUGAAAUGCGAAGAGAUGUGGAGGAACACCAGUGGCGAAGGCGACUCUCUGGUCUGUAACUGACGCUGAGGAGCGAAAGCGUGGGGAGCGAACAGGAUUAGAUACCCUGGUAGUCCACGCCGUAAACGAUGAGUGCUAAGUGUUAGGGGGUUUCCGCCCCUUAGUGCUGCAGCUAACGCAUUAAGCACUCCGCCUGGGGAGUACGGUCGCAAGACUGAAACUCAAAGGAAUUGACGGGGGCCCGCACAAGCGGUGGAGCAUGUGGUUUAAUUCGAAGCAACGCGAAGAACCUUACCAGGUCUUGACAUCCUCUGACAAUCCUAGAGAUAGGACGUCCCCUUCGGGGGCAGAGUGACAGGUGGUGCAUGGUUGUCGUCAGCUCGUGUCGUGAGAUGUUGGGUUAAGUCCCGCAACGAGCGCAACCCUUGAUCUUAGUUGCCAGCAUUCAGUUGGGCACUCUAAGGUGACUGCCGGUGACAAACCGGAGGAAGGUGGGGAUGACGUCAAAUCAUCAUGCCCCUUAUGACCUGGGCUACACACGUGCUACAAUGGGCAGAACAAAGGGCAGCGAAACCGCGAGGUUAAGCCAAUCCCACAAAUCUGUUCUCAGUUCGGAUCGCAGUCUGCAACUCGACUGCGUGAAGCUGGAAUCGCUAGUAAUCGCGGAUCAGCAUG